AAGUACCGAUUAAGCAACCCGUAAGAUCACCGAAGUUAAGCAAGGUAGAGCCUUGUCAGUACCUAGAUGGGUAACCGCUUUGGAAUACCUGGU
Molecule: non-coding RNA, 93 nt
Organism: Acanthosepion pharaonis
Lineage: Eukaryota; Metazoa; Mollusca; Cephalopoda; Sepiida; Sepiidae
Source: the annotation of a GenBank genome assembly